CUGCUCAAAGCCAGAUUUGCCUUCAAACGAAGCUGUAGUCAGCCCAAGCCUUCAUCCCUUUCGGGAUAAACCCUUGCCAAAAGCCUUUGUAAUAGCUCUGCUACCUUGUCCUAAGCUUGUUGUAGUAUCGAUUUCUUUCUGCAAACUUAACUCCCUACCUCAUUUUCUAAAGCUCUCAAACCCCUUGAUAAACCACAAAGAUAGGAAGUUGCAAGACGAAUCAGCCUUGCCCGACAAGGUUAAACCUUGCCCGACCCGUUUUGUUUUUGUCUUUUCAUUCAUUAGCCUAGCAAUAUGUUAUAUACUUCCAGUUGUAUUCAAGUUAUUUCUAGUAAGAUGAUGAUUAAAAGACUCUCUCAGUUCUUGAAUCCGAUUUGAAUAUAUCUUCACAAUUCAAACCAGAUCUAAGUUCUAAGCUUUCGGGCAUGUAAGAUUGAUCAUUCAAAAGUCCUUGGCCUCAAGGCAUAAAAAAGAACCUUAUGUGGACUUAACCCAUCCACGACAAGCUUUGAUAACAAGAAGUCCGAAGUUACUUGGGGCGCAAGUAAUUGAUCUAUCUCUUAGUUUUAUUUCUAUUAUAUUAUGAUUAUAGUAGAACGUUUGAGUAUAGAAGGAAUUAUGAUGGGAAGCCUUAAGGCCUAUAUCUAAGGCCCUACAAAGGCACCUAUUUGGGUUCAUUCUGCUCUGCGGGCUCGAAUAAUCAGAAGUAUAAUGGUUAUAACACUUUUGCAAACAAUAAAACAGACAUCGUAUAUUCGAGUACUGGGUUAGUUCUUGAUCGGAAGCCU
RNAcentral lists this long non-coding RNA (788 nucleotides) under Malus domestica (apple). Its description in RNAcentral is "long non-coding RNA (MDOM_LNC016236)". The record is from RNAcentral. Lineage: Eukaryota; Viridiplantae; Streptophyta; Magnoliopsida; Rosales; Rosaceae.